This 441-nucleotide ribosomal RNA is filed under the name uncultured bacterium. Its description in RNAcentral is "partial 16S ribosomal RNA". It matches the Rfam family "Bacterial small subunit ribosomal RNA", at positions 28 to 507 of the family's 1533-position model. The record is from RNAcentral.
GAUGAACGCUGGCGGCGUGCCUAAUACAUGCAAGUCGAACGGGGAGUAGCAAUACUCUUAGUGGCGAACGGGUGAGUAACGCGUUGGUACCUGCCCCGAAGCGGGGGAUAACGGACCGAAAGGUCCGCUAAUACCCCAUGUGCUCGGUAACGAGUAAAGGUGAAAACCACUUUGGGAGGGGCAUGCGUCCCAUCAGCUAGUUGGUAAGGUAACGGCUUACCAAGGCGAUGACGGGUAGGGGACCUGAGAGGGUGGCCCCCCACAAUGGAACUGAAACACGGUCCAUACACCUACGGGUAGCAGCAGUAGGGAAUAUUGGUAAUGGGCGCAAGCCUGAACCAGCAACGCCGCGUGUGCGAUGACGGCCUUCGGGUUGUAAAGCACUUUUGACGGGGAUGAGGAAGGACGGUACCGGUCGAAUCAGCCUCGGCUAACUACGUG